AAAACACAUCAGGGCAGUUAACAACAAAAACUAACGAGUUUAACUUCUGUCCGGAGGUGGCGAAAAAGAAGUGUUUUACGCCACCUAAUGAAUGAAAGCCACGUCGUUAUUUUACAGAAAGAUCAAUACACCUCAGCACACACAAUCAUAACUCAUUAAAAUCUACAAUCCUCCUCACACACGAUGGUUUCAGAUCUGGAGAGCUAAACCCCAAAUCUCCUCUCCUCCUCUCUUCUUAGCCCCGGAGCUCUACCCCGCCACAUACGACGCCGCACGCGUCGUUUCCGGCGUCUGAAAAUUAUGUCGGGGCCUUCGCAUGUGUGGUGUCACCACCUCAAGCUAUGAUGCAGACAGGUGGUUUUGAAUAUUUCAGUUCAAAAUGCAACUUGAUAGCAAACUACUUAAGGGCCAAAUUUACAAAACUCCUAUGGGCUCAGGGGAUAGUUAAGCGCUUAAUAUCACAGUUAAUCGAAAUUCUGGAGAAGAUCUUGCCUUGGAAUUAAAAAUAUUUACUCUGCCAAUGCAUAGUUGGAUAUUGUGGAGAGGAAAGGGAGGGUGUUAUUGACCUGGAAGGUCAUUGGUGAUGCAUGGAACCAUUACUUUGGCAUAAACUCUUCUCCUUUUCAUAUUCAAAGUUGGACUCUAUUGGUCUACAAGGUAUUGGUUUUGUAUCUCUUAUGGUAGUUUUGGUAGAUCAAACCCGCAACUCAGGGAGACAAGAUCAAUGCUUGUCUUGUGUUGACUCUUUUGAAUUUUCCUAACUGAUUUUCAGAUUAUUUUUUUCUAUAAUAUUUUUAGAGAUAAAACAGGU
Quercus lobata is the source of this 811-nucleotide long non-coding RNA. RefSeq lists it as uncharacterized. The transcript has 3 exons. NCBI's taxonomy places the organism in Eukaryota, Viridiplantae, Streptophyta, Magnoliopsida, Fagales, Fagaceae. The record is from RefSeq and is a predicted model, not a curated record.